RNAcentral lists this ribosomal RNA (1134 nucleotides) under uncultured marine Polycystinea. RNAcentral describes it as "bacterial SSU rRNA". It matches the Rfam family "Eukaryotic small subunit ribosomal RNA", at positions 1 to 1148 of the family's 1831-position model. Lineage: Eukaryota; Polycystinea. The record is from RNAcentral.
ACCUGGUUGAUCCUGCCAGUAGUCAUAUGCUUGUCUCAAAGAUUAAGCCAUGCAAGUCUAAGUAUAUGCUGAAUAGCUGAGACUGCAGAUGGCUCAUUAAAACAGUUAUAGUUUAUUUGAUGGUCCCUUUGCUAAUUGGAUAACCGUAGUAAUUCUAGAGCUAAUACAUGCAUAAAGCCCUGACUUCGGAAAGGGCGUGUUUAUUAGAUAAGACCAAUUGCCCUAACGGGUAUUAGGUGAUUCAUAGUAACUUCUCGGAUCGGAUGUCUUCGCGACGCCGACAGAUCAUUCAAAUUUCUGCCCUAUCAGCUUUCGAUGGUACGGUAGCGGCCUACCAUGGCGGUGACGGGUGACGGAGAAUUAGGGUUCAAUUCCGGAGAGGGAGCCUGAGAAACGGCUACCACAUCUAAGGAAGGCAGCAGGCGCGUAAAUUACCCAAUCCUGACGCAGGGAGGUAGUGACAAGAAAUAUCAAUAGAUUGAACACAGUUCUGUCUAAUUGGAAUGAGUACAUUCUAAACCCCUUAACGAGAACCAAUUGGAGGGCAAGUCUGGUGCCAGCAGCCGCGGUAAUUCCAGCUCCAAUAGCGUAUACUAAAGUUGUUGCAGUUAAAAAGCUCGUAGUUGGAUUUCUGUGCGCCGGUUGUUGGGCCUGCUCUAUGAGGAGGCUCCUUCACCGUCGUACAUCCUGUUGGCAGACCCGCGCAGGGCAUUUAGUUGUCGGCGUGGGGAGACCACUCGUUUACUUUGAGAAAAUUAAAGUGUUCAAAGCAGGCAAUCGCUUGAAUACAUUAGCAUGGAAUAAUAGUAUAGGACUUUGAUCUUAUUUGUUGGUUUUAAAGAUCAAAGUAAUGAUUGAUAGGGACAGUUGGGGGCAUCAGUAUUCUGAAGCGAGAAGUGAAAUUCUUGGACCUUCGGAAGACUAACAACUGCGAAAGCAUUUGCCAAGGAUGUUCUCUUUAAUCAAGAACGAAAGUUAGGGGAUCGAAGACGAUCAGAUACCGUCGUAGUCUUACCUAUAAACUAUGCCAGCUAGGGAUCGGUGAACGUUGUUUCGAACCCUUCAUCAGCACCUUAUGAGAAAUCAAAGCAUUUGGGUUCCGGGGGGAGUAUGGUCGCAAGGCUGAAACUUAAA